RNAcentral lists this ribosomal RNA (799 nucleotides) under uncultured bacterium. RNAcentral's name for it is "bacterial SSU rRNA". It matches the Rfam family "Bacterial small subunit ribosomal RNA", at positions 8 to 796 of the family's 1533-position model. The record is from RNAcentral.
AGAGUUUGAUCAUGGCUCAGAUUGAACGCUGGCGGCAUGCCUAACACAUGCAAGUCGAACGGCAGCACAGUAGAGCUUGCUCUAUGGGUGGCGAGUGGCGGACGGGUGAGUAAUGCAUCGGGAUCUACCCAAACGUGGGGGAUAACGUAGGGAAACUUACGCUAAUACCGCAUACGUCCUAUGGGAGAAAGCGGGGGAUCGCAAGACCUCGCGCGGUUGGACGAACCGAUGUGCGAUUAGCUAGUUGGUAGGGUAAUGGCCUACCAAGGCGACGAUCGCUAGCUGGUCUGAGAGGAUGAUCAGCCACACUGGAACUGAGACACGGUCCAGACUCCUACGGGAGGCAGCAGUGGGGAAUAUUGGACAAUGGGCGCAAGCCUGAUCCAGCAAUGCCGCGUGUGUGAAGAAGGCCUUCGGGUUGUAAAGCACUUUUAUCAGGAGCGAAAUGCCAUUGGUUAAUACCCGGUGGAGCUGACGGUACCUGAGGAAUAAGCACCGGCUAACUUCGUGCCAGCAGCCGCGGUAAUACGAAGGGUGCAAGCGUUAAUCGGAAUUACUGGGCGUAAAGCGUGCGUAGGCGGUGAGUUAAGUCUGUUGUGAAAUCCCCGGGCUCAACCUGGGAAUGGCAAUGGAUACUGGCUCGCUAGAGUGUGAUAGAGGAUGGUGGAAUUCCCGGUGUAGCGGUGAAAUGCGUAGAGAUCGGGAGGAACAUCAGUGGCGAAGGCGGCCAUCUGGAUCAACACUGACGCUGAGGCACGAAAGCGUGGGGAGCAAACAGGAUUAGAUACCCUAGUAGUCC